ACGAUAACGGCGUCGAGCGGCGGACGGGUGAGUAAUGCCUAGGAAAUUGCCCUGAUGUGGGGGAUAACCAUUGGAAACGAUGGCUAAUACCGCAUGAUGCCUACGGGCCAAAGAGGGGGACCUUCGGGCCUCUCGCGUCAGGAUAUGCCUAGGUGGGAUUAGCUAGUUGGUGAGGUAAGGGCUCACCAAGGCGACGAUCCCUAGCUGGUCUGAGAGGAUGAUCAG
Molecule: ribosomal RNA, 225 nt
Filed under: Vibrio parahaemolyticus
Lineage: Bacteria; Pseudomonadati; Pseudomonadota; Gammaproteobacteria; Vibrionales; Vibrionaceae
Description: partial 16S ribosomal RNA
Rfam family: Bacterial small subunit ribosomal RNA
Source: RNAcentral